CAGGGAUUACGGCACGGAAGUCCUUGGUACAAGCUUACCACAUAGUUUCGUUCCAUAAGGGAACAAAAGGUUGAAAAGGCGAGGCAAGAUUGCCAACAACUUAGCCGUUUGAGCAGGUAUCGAUGGAGGACAGAGGGUUAAUCCGCGACGUUAAUCUGCACUGGAAAUACACCCUAAUCAGUGUUUUAGAGGCAGCUCACAACGGCAAUUUGUAUAUAGGCGAAGUUGGUGAUUUGCCAAUGGUAUUUCAAGAUAAGUUGCUGAAGUCCUUAAGGUGACGGUGAGCUGGCAGCAUGCCUGCUACAUGCAAGUAUACGUGGAUGGAUGAAUGUGUGUGUAGUUGUUACAGUGGGCUCCAGAUGAAUGCUGCUACGGUAGUGGAAAUCUAAGCAACAUCUGUGCAUAAGCCUGUAGGGCAGAAGCCAAGCCGUGCAAAACCCGCAACCGACCAGAGGCGCACCUCCUCGUAGAAGUGCUAAGGGCUAUCCUUUUGCCCAAGGAGGGUCUGCUGCCAAGAGAGGGUAAAGGUCGCUCGAGGGAGUGAGCUGAUGCAGGGUAGCCCUAUUAUCGGCUGCCAAUCUUCAAGGACAACAGAAGUUAGCUGGUCGAAGGGAACUCGAAGUCUGCACUGCAUACAAAGGAGAGGCUCAUGAACGGGCCGC
This 662-nucleotide long non-coding RNA is filed under the name Volvox carteri. RNAcentral's name for it is "long non-coding RNA (VCAR_LNC000462)". The record is from RNAcentral. Lineage: Eukaryota; Viridiplantae; Chlorophyta; Chlorophyceae; Chlamydomonadales; Volvocaceae.